AUUGAACGCUGGCGGCAUGCCUUACACAUGCAAGUCGAACGGUAACGGGCCUUCGGGUGCCGACGAGUGGCGAACGGGUGAGUAAUACAUCGGAACGUGCCCGAUCGUGGGGGAUAACGAGGCGAAAGCUUUGCUAAUACCGCAUACUAUCUACGGAUGAAAGCAGGGGACCGCAAGGCCUUGCGCGGACGGAGCGGCCGAUGGCAGAUUAGGUAGUUGGUGGGAUAAAAGCUUACCAAGCCGACGAUCUGUAGCUGGUCUGAGAGGAUGAUCAGCCACACUGGGACUGAGACACGGCCCAGACUCCUACGGGAGGCAGCAGUGGGGAAUUUUGGACAAUGGGCGCAAGCCUGAUCCAGCCAUGCCGCGUGCAGGAUGAAGGCCUUCGGGUUGUAAACUGCUUUUGUACGGAACGAAAAGCCUUCUUUUAAUACAGGAGGGUCAUGACGGUACCGUAAGAAUAAGCACCGGCUAACUACGUG
Molecule: ribosomal RNA, 482 nt
Filed under: uncultured bacterium
Lineage: Bacteria
Description: partial 16S ribosomal RNA
Rfam family: Bacterial small subunit ribosomal RNA
Source: RNAcentral